GCCCUUGACCUAAUCAAAGGUGUUACCUGCCCAAUGAUUAAUAAUUAGAAUAUAAAAACCUUAAAAUUAAUUUAAAGGACGCGGUAUCCUGACCGUGAUAAUGUAGCAUAAUCAUUCGCCACCUAAUUAGUGGAUAGUAUGAAUGGUAUAACGAAUAUAACACUGUCUUAACAGAAAAUUUUAUUAAAUUGAAAUAAUAGUCAAGAUGCUAUUUCAAGUUGUAAGACGAGAAGACCCUAUAGAGCUUAACUAUAACCUUUUUAAAUUUUAAAAAUUAAUUUUUAGAUAUAAAAGGAUAGGUAGUUUAGUUGGGGCGACUAUCUUCUAAAAUAAACGAAGAUGAACAAAGUUAAUUAAACACUUACUGUAUAAUUAAUACAUUUAACAGUUAUUAACAUAGGUAAUAAAGACCCGUUAUAUAUUUAUAAUAAUAAUAACGAUCAACAAAUAAAAGCUACCUUAGGGAUAACAGGAUAAUCUUGUUCAAGAGAUCUUAUCGAAAGCAAGGUUUGUCACCUCUAUGUUGAAUUAAGAUAUCCAAGAAAUGCAGAAGUUUCUAAAGGUAGGUCUGUUCGACCUAUAAAAUCUU
RNAcentral lists this ribosomal RNA (589 nucleotides) under Kudacoryne diaphana. RNAcentral's name for it is "Sphaerocorynidae gen. n. sp. d DM-2021 partial large subunit ribosomal RNA". It matches the Rfam family "Bacterial large subunit ribosomal RNA", at positions 1818 to 2597 of the family's 2925-position model. The record is from RNAcentral. Lineage: Eukaryota; Metazoa; Cnidaria; Hydrozoa; Anthoathecata; Sphaerocorynidae.